RNAcentral lists this long non-coding RNA (469 nucleotides) under Homo sapiens (human). RNAcentral's name for it is "HSALNT0025287". Lineage: Eukaryota; Metazoa; Chordata; Mammalia; Primates; Hominidae. The record is from RNAcentral.
ACAGAAGGUUUCAAGUCAAAAUCCUAACCAAUCUGCUUUGAUCUCAUUGAACAAGACUCGCUUGCAAUGAAUGACUGAAGUGGAUAUAAAACAUGAGUUCACUUAUAUGUGUCCCAUGAAACUUUUAUUACUCAUUUAUCCUUCUUACCUAGAACAAUGAACAUCAUCGCAGUGACAACCAUGCAGAAUUAGCAGAACCUGAAUUACUCCAGAUAUUCUCAUUCUUAAGUUCUGCUCAGGAAGUGUAUAUUCAUGCCAAGGCCAUGGCACUCAACAACUCUGGAUACAAGGCUCAGGGACUUUUAAAUAAUUCUCAGGAAGAAAGAAACUGCAGAGCCCAAGUGGAAUUCUGGAUAUAAUGAAAUCCUGCCCCAGCCUGGUGGCUUCUCUCAGAUCUUUCCUCCCGGCUUGCCGCUUCAUCGUCUCUGAACCUCCUGUGUCUCCUUCGUGAUAAACUUGCAUUUUUAGA